Non-coding RNA from Galeopterus variegatus (Sunda flying lemur), 435 nucleotides. The record is from the annotation of a RefSeq genome assembly. NCBI's taxonomy places the organism in Eukaryota, Metazoa, Chordata, Mammalia, Dermoptera, Cynocephalidae.
AUGAAGACAAUUACUGGACCUUUGUUCCUGUUUUUGUGGCUGCAGCUGGACUGUCUGAGUAGAGGAGAGGAGGUGGAGCAGCGCCCUUCUUCCCUGAGUGUCCAGGAAGGAGACAGCACUGUUGUUAUCAACUGCACUUACACAGACAGUACCUCUACCUUUUUCUCUUGGUAUAAACAAGAACCUGGAAAAAGUCUUCAGCGUAUUAUAGACAUUCGCUCAAAUAUGGACAAAAAGCAAGACCAAAGACUCACUGUCCUAUUAGACAAGACGGCCAAACAUCUCUCCCUGCACAUUGCAGCCACCCAGCCUGGAGACUCAGCUGUCUACUUCUGUGCAGUGAGCACACAUUGCUUCCCAGGCACCUGCAGCCUGUACCCAAACCUGAGACUGGGGCUGAAGACAUACUCUAUUUUCUUUGGCACAGACCUUCAA